UUCUGACAGCAGUACCAAAAUCGCUGUGGUGGAGUUCAAACCACCUGCUGCUUGCACACCAUUUCUGUAGCAUCUGCACCUGCAGCCAUGUAAUGCCCCACAGGCCCUCACCCCGCAACCUGUAGCCGUCUGCCUCCAGCUCCAGGUCACACCCGACGCCCUCUCGGUACAGAAGCUCUAUGCUGCGCAGAUUCUCUCUCAGCUCCUCUGCCUGGCUGAGCUUCUUUUCUUCUUCCCCGGCGUUUCCUGGUCCCUCGCAUCUCCGCUGUGCCGCGGCCUUUACCCGGGGCGCCCCCAAAGCAUCGGCCGCAGCCAGCACAUCCUCCAAUGAGGCGGGGCCCAGCACCCCCUCAUAGGCAAAGGUCAGCACGGCCUCCCAGCCCCCCGGGGCCACAUCCAGGCUGAAGCCAAGCCGCGGCGCUCCGCCGCUCAGCAGCCUGUCUCGGAAGAGGCUGCUGACUGCGGCCAAGAUCACCCGGUGCACACCAUACACCCGCCCCCUGACUGUCACCUCCUCGUCUAACAAGAGCCUGUGUUCCCGCAGCCUCUGGGCUUCUGCGAAGAACUGGCUCGGAUGCUCCUCACUACACAGUCCCUCCAGCUUGGCUGUGUCUCCAUCGUCCUCAUCCUCUUCCUCUUCCUCUUCCUCUAGGAACAAAGCGGGGGAAGGAAGGUUCCCUGGGACCAGGGAUCUGGGGCCAUGCUCUUGCAGAGGAAAGGACAGUAAAUCAGGAUCCUCAUCUGGGGAAGAAGGCCAGGAGUUUCUUUCAGCGGGCAAAGGGUGUCCAAAACCGUCCUUCUGGAGGGGAAGAGAGACGGGCUGCAGGUCCGAGGGAUGAUGUGCUGUGUCCAAGAGGCUCAUGGCCUAGGUCUGCUGGAUUGCUGCAGGGAGUUAGGAUGGGCCAAAGGCUGCUAGGGGUGGAUGCCCUCAUCUAUAGAAGGGCUGGCCCAAUCUUGAUAGGCUGACCAAAGAAGCAGACUUAUCAAGGGAAAGAAAUGAUUCAGGUGAGUGGGCUCUUAUGGGGGUGGAAUGGGAAGGUGAUUUUACCAAUACUGCAUUCCCUCCAACUUCUGGAGUUGUCUCUGUUUCCCCAUUUACAGCCCUCAUACCCUGGUAACCAUUCCUUGGGUAAGUCUAAUCCUCAGGCCACACUCCCCAAAAUGGGUUGACUUAGAGAGGCAACUCUUGGUAACUAGGCUAGGGAAAGGGAAGAUAAUGACCAGUUUCUAUACCCUUUUUCCCAGACCGUCUGGGACUACCUGUAGCAAAACAAUGCGGCCAGCAUCUUAAGCCAUCAUCAGUAAGUGGAGGAAAUACAUUUCAGAGACAUACCUCUAGCUGCCCUCUGGUUGUCAUCUGCCUCUAAGGACAGGGACUUUGGAUCCAGCUAUGAGUGGUAUGACAAUUCUACAGUCCCAGGAUAUCUGUGCCACAAUCAACAAUUCCUGGAGGCUCUGUGUGGCUCCACCAUGGUAAGAAAGACCCAUGCCCCACAGAGAACUCUCAAAGAUAGGAAAAAAUCUGCUGUCUGAGCCACCACUCACUUCCAUUAAAGCCUGGGACUUCCCUCCUCCCCCAAAUCCUUCCUGUCACCAUGUUCCUGGUUGCAGAGCUGUCAUGGCAUUUCAGUCAUGUCUGUACAGUCUCAGCCAGAGGACAGCAUGACUUCCACCUCUGCAGAGAAGUCCUGUGCCAAGCCACACUCUUGAGAAGAUGAUCCAGAUAAUUUCCGGGCCAGGACCGGCAAGACGCCAGAACACUUUGGCUGGGUCAUGAGGAUCAUGUUAAGACUGGAGCUCACGAUUUCCAAAGUAGGGUAUGUAGGUUGAUGAGAGACUUUGUUCCAGAGAACGUAGAGGAUACUUCUGAGCAAUGGAGAAGAGAGCUGGAGAAUUAGUGUGCACUGAAAUGACCUCCUCCCUCACUUCUUUGCUCCAUGGAUGUGCUAUGUGCUCAUCAUCUGUGGUGUCAUAUUCUAUCUGCUUUUGCCUUGGAUGACUGCUCAGGCAGACACAAGUAUGAGCUCAGAGCUCUGGGAAGUAGGAAGCGAUUUAGGGAACAAGGCCUGAAUGAAUGAAUUCUCAUUCCUACCCAGGGCUCACAUGGCUCAUCAUCCUGUUCUUGGCCUCAGUCACUAAGAUUAGCACCUUGCCUAUCACAGGCAUCUCAGCCAAUGGCAAAGUAAAGGCUGGUGAGUCUGUUGUGACUGUUAUCUCUCAGAGCCCCCAGUCCUGUUAGGAAUCUCUGAGAUCACAGACCAGCUCUUCCUUUCUCUUCUCCUAGGUGGCACAUAUUUCUUCAUCUCAUAUAGCCUGGGUCGGUCCAGAGCCUGGCAUUUCCAUGGGGAUCAUUUUUGCUUCUGCCAACACUGUAGCUGUGGCUAGGACACUUUGGGAUUUGGGUAAUGCUGAUUCUUUCCCUCUUUGUACUUCUGUCUCAAGUCUGUUGUAUUGGAAGGUCUUACCUUGCACUGUGACUCCAGCUUGGGCAAAUCUUUCAAAUCACAUAAGGGGGCAUCAACUCAGCCAAUAAACAUUCUAUGAUGUGUGCAUUCUGCCUUUCCAGAAACACUGGGUACAGCAGCUAAACAUAGAUCCAGAAGAUAAGCUACUGGUGGUUGGUGUGAUGACUGUGACUAUUCUUCUGAGAGUGACACUGGUCUGUAUGAGUGGGAAUCUAAGGCAGGUGCCAGAGAAUUGAGGUUGGUGAGGAGGCUGAGGGAAUGACAGUGAGAACUGGAUGGGGCUACAAGAGGCUAAGGAGCAAUGGGGAAAUAUGUGGGAUUGUAUGUGGGGGGCAAAAGCAGCUGCAGCUGAAUAGGCCAAGUUAAAUAAGGAGAAGGAGCUGGUGAAGCAGAUUCCCAUGGACAGUGACCUGAAAUUGGAUGGUUUUGCUGGGAGAGACUCUAUAUCACAGCUCCUCAAGGGGAAAGAAAAGAGGCCUUAUUCUGAGGAUCUGUUGGGAUGAGUGUUGAACAAGAGUGGGGGUGGGGGGAGGACAGUAGAUAAGAAAUAUUAUUUACUAUUCCCGGAUGUUUACAAUUUUAAGAUCCACCCCUCUGGCGUGGGGAGGGAUAACUUGCAGUUUGAGGAAAAAAAAUAAAAGGAUGGCCA
This is a long non-coding RNA of Marmota monax (woodchuck), 3114 nucleotides long. RefSeq lists it as uncharacterized. Lineage: Eukaryota; Metazoa; Chordata; Mammalia; Rodentia; Sciuridae. The record is from RefSeq and is a predicted model, not a curated record. The transcript is spliced from 2 exons.